RNAcentral lists this ribosomal RNA (1571 nucleotides) under bacterium. RNAcentral describes it as "partial 23S ribosomal RNA". It matches the Rfam family "Bacterial large subunit ribosomal RNA", at positions 453 to 1979 of the family's 2925-position model. The record is from RNAcentral.
CCACCCUCCAAGGCUAAAUACACUUGGCGACCGAUAGUGAACAAGUACCGUGAGGGAAAGGUGAAAAGUACCCCGGUGAGGGGAGUGAAAUAGAACCUGAAACCAUAAACCUACAAACAGUUGAAGGGCUAAUGGCGUGUCGGUGCUCCGGAGAAAUCCGGGUGCGCGGCGCUAGGCCUGACAGCGUGCCUCUUGGAGAAUGAGCCUGCGAGUUAAUCUCUGUGGCAAGGUUAAGGGAGCGAUACCCGGAGCCGUAGCGAAAGCGAGUCUGAAUAGGGCGAAGAGUCGCAGGGAUUAGACCCGAAACCGGGUGAGCUACCCAUGGCCAGGGUGAAGCGAGUUUAGUCGCUCGUGGAGGCCCGAACCUACUAACGUUGCAAAGUUAGGGGAUGAGCUGUGGGUAGAGGUGAUAUGCCAAACGAACUCGGAUAUAGCUGGUUCUCCCCGAAAUAGCUUUAGGGCUAGCGCUAUUUGUUCAGCGAUGGAGGUAGAGCACUGAAUGGGCUAAGGGGCUUAGUGCUUACUGAACCCAAUCAAACUCCGAAUGCCAUCGCUCCAGAGAAUAGCAGUCGGACUACGGGAGAUGAGUUUCGUGGUCGAAAGGGAAACAGCCCAGAUCAUCGGCUAAGGUCCCCAAAUUCAAGCUGAGUGGGAAACGAUGUGGGGUUACAUGAACAACCAGGAGGUUGGCUCAGAAGCAGCCACCCUUUAAAGAGUGCGUAAUAGCUCACUGGUCUAGUGAUCCUGCGCGGAAAACUUAACGGGGCUAAGCUUGAUACCGAAGCCAUGGGAUUGCGCCUAGUGCGUGAUCGGUAGGGGAGCGUUCUGUUUGCAGAGAAGGUCGACCGGAAGGACGGCUGGAGCGGACAGAAGUGAGAAUGCAGGCAUGAGUAGCGUAAAACACGUGAGAACCGUGUUCGCCGUAUGUCUAAGGUUUCCGACGCCAGGUCAGUCCGCGUCGGGUUAGUCGGGUCCUUAGCCGAGGCCGCAAGGCGUAGGUGAUGGACAGCCGGUCAACAUUCCGGCACCACUUGUGUGGAGCUAUGGGGGGACGCAGCGAGGUAGACCAGCCUGCGAUUGGUUGUGCAGGUGUCUGCGGUGUCAGACGUUGAGAGCGGUAGGCAAAUCCGCCGCUUGAGUUGAGACCGUGGAGCGUGUCUUCAAGGCUAAAGUGAGUUAAGCCUUGCUGCCCAGAAAAGCCCCUACGCGAUGAAGCACGAGUGCCCGUACCGCAAUCCGACACUGGUAGACGGGUAGAAUAUACCAAGGCGAACGGGGAAACCCUCGUUAAGGAAUUAGGCAACAUAGCCCCGUAACUUCGGGAGAAGGGGUGCCUGUUCGGGUGAAUGCAUAAUGAGCCUGGACGGGUCGCAGUGAAAUGGUUCUAGUGACUGGUUACCAAAACCACAGGUCUCUGCUAAGCCGAAAGGCGAAGUAUAGGGGCUGACGCCUGCCCAGUGCCGGAAGGUUAAAGGGAGAGGUUAGCGCAAGCGAAGCUUUGAACUGAAGCCCCGGUGAACGGCGGCCGUAACUAUAACGGUCCUAAGGUAGCGAAAUUCCUUGUCGGGUAA